RNAcentral lists this ribosomal RNA (253 nucleotides) under uncultured bacterium. RNAcentral's name for it is "partial 16S ribosomal RNA". It matches the Rfam family "Bacterial small subunit ribosomal RNA", at positions 524 to 776 of the family's 1533-position model. The record is from RNAcentral.
UACGUAGGUGGCAAGCGUUGUCCGGAUUUACUGGGUGUAAAGGGCGUGCAGCCGGAGAGACAAGUCAGAUGUGAAAUCCACGGGCUCAACCCGUGAACUGCAUUCGAAACUGUUUCCCUUGAGUGUCGGAGAGGUAAUCGGAAUUCCUUGUGUAGCGGUGAAAUGCGUAGAUAUAAGGAAGAACACCAGUGGCGAAGGCGGAUUACUGGACGAUAACUGACGGUGAGGCGCGAAAGCGUGGGGAGCAAACAGG